RNAcentral lists this ribosomal RNA (894 nucleotides) under uncultured crenarchaeote VAL29. Its description in RNAcentral is "bacterial SSU rRNA". It matches the Rfam family "Archaeal small subunit ribosomal RNA", at positions 1 to 872 of the family's 1478-position model. The record is from RNAcentral. Lineage: Archaea; Thermoproteati; Thermoproteota.
UUCCGGUUGAUCCUGCCGGACCCUACUGCUAUCGGGAUGGGACUAAGACAUGCUAGUCGAGCGCCUCCUAGCCACGCUGGAGGCGCGGCACACAGCUCAGUAACACGUGGCUAACCUGCCCUUGGGACGGAAACAUCCCCGGGAAACUGGGGCCAAUUUCCGAUAGGCGAAGGUCUCUGGAACGAGUCUUCACCCAAAAGACGUUUGGGGCAUGCUCCUAGACGUUGCCCAAGGAUGGGGCCGCGGCCGAUCAGGUUGUUGGUGAGGUAACGGCUCACCAAGCCUAUUACCGGUACGGGCCGUGGGAGCGGUAGCCCGGAGAUGGGCACUGAGACAAGGGCCCAGGCCCUACGGGGCGCAGCAGUCGCGAAAACUUCGCAAUAAGCGAAAGCUUGACGAGGCCAUCCCGAGUGCCAUCUGCUGAGGAUGGCUUUUACCUAGUAUAGAUAGCUAGGGGAAUAAGGAGAGGGCAAGUCUGGUGUCAGCCGCCGCGGUAAUACCAGCUCUCCGAGUUGUGGGGACAUUUAUUGGGCCUAAAGCAUCCGUAGCCGGCUAAACAAGUCCCCUGUUAAAUCCAGCGACGAAUCGUUGGCCUGCGGGGGAUACUGUUCGGCUAGGGGGCGGGAGAGGCCGUCGGUAUUCUUGGGGUAGGGGUGAAAUCCUAUAAUCCCAGGAGGACCACCAGUGGCGAAGGCUGUCGGCUAGAACGCGCCCGACGGUGAGGGAUGAAAGCUGGGGGAGCGAACCGGAUUAGAUACCCGGGUAGUCCCAGCUGUAAACGAUGCAGGCUAGGUGUUAGGGCGGCUACGUGCCGCUCUAGUGCCGCAGGGAAGCUGUUAAGCCUGCCGCCUGGGGAGUACGGCCGCAAGGCUGAAACUUAAAGGAAUUGGCGGG